RNAcentral lists this unclassified non-coding RNA (382 nucleotides) under Hevea brasiliensis (rubber tree). Lineage: Eukaryota; Viridiplantae; Streptophyta; Magnoliopsida; Malpighiales; Euphorbiaceae. The record is from RNAcentral.
GAAGUUGAAAAAGAUAGCACUAGUAAGUUCCCAUCUAUUGUAUAUUUGUACAACAUUCAAGUGUUGUUAUUUGUGGAAUGAUCUCUCUCACUCCCUCUGAAAUUGCACGAAUUGUUUUCUUUUCUUUAUUCUCCAAUUCCACUUUAACCUUUGUUAAAUCUGUUUAUGUAGUUGAGCAAGGGUGCUAGCACAAGUUCAAAUAAUAAUACACCACCCCUCAAAUAGUAAUACACCACCCAUUUUAAAGGAGGAACUAAAAGUAUAGUCUUAUGGUAUUGGAGUAUAGGGGGUAACUGAAGGAGCGGAAGCAUGAAAAAUACAAGUUUAGAUCAUUGAAUUCAAAAAUUUUUCAUCUAGAGUCACAUGCAUCAUGCAAGAUUCA